Molecule: long non-coding RNA, 1447 nt
Filed under: Sus scrofa (pig)
Lineage: Eukaryota; Metazoa; Chordata; Mammalia; Artiodactyla; Suidae
Description: lncRNA (ENSSSCG00000059492.1)
Source: RNAcentral
ACUGUGGUUUCUUCCUUGUGCUCAGAACUUUGCUUGUUUUCUGGGCAUCCUCUCUGUCUGUCCAGGCUUGCUCUCACCACUGCCCUCAGGAGUGCACACAAGGAACCAGCCACAGAGAAGGGGAAGUGUGGGAUUGGCACUGCGGCACUGGGGAUUCCCACAGGCAGAUGGUAGGAUCCUCAAGUGAAGAUUUCCCAGCAGGUUUUGGGCAGGUCUCCUGCUUUGAAUCUAGAACACAGUCAGCAGACAUCCCUUUAAUUCCCUCUGUUAUUCUUGUCUGCCUCUCUCCCCAUGUUUCCCUUCCCCUAAGUCAUGGAGCGCUUGUUUAAUACUCUGUUGUUGUUGACGCCUCCUUCACAACAACACUCAAAUUCUACCUCAAAAAGUUUCUUUAGCAAUAGCCCUCACAGCUGGGAAAACCAAGGGCUCACUCACCACUGUUCCUUUCCCCCUUGGGAUGGUUUCUCAGCCCACUUCUUCUCUAAGCGAUGCCACCAUGGGGGCAGGGUGAUGCUCAGAAAGUUCCUCUUCAGUGGAGGUUGUUGUUGUUUGUUUGUUUGUUUCCACGGAGUUCUUGAACUUCUUUAGAAACCUGAAUUCCUAGAAAUUAUCCAAAUGUAUCUGGGCAAGUCAGCAUUUUCUAGAGGUUGAAGCCAGUUCACAGGCUCCUGCUGAUUCUGCAAUUGUAUUGGGGUGUGUCUGCCUGUUACCCAAUGCAGAAGUGAGUGAGAUUCCUCCUUAGUACCUUGGUGUGUGGUGCUGGAUGCCACAGCUCCCAGAGAGGCAGUUUUCAUCAUGGAUAGAUGACAAAUUUUAAAAGUUAAAGGCAGUGACCGCGGAUGUCUUAUGCCAUCACAACAUCACUCCGUAAGUAUUAUAAUUUAAUGUUUGUAAUUUUAUAUUUAUUGGUUGAAUCUAAGUCUAUGAAAUGAAUUCCUACCUUGUCAGAGGAAGAACUUGGCCACAUUUAUAUUUCUUACAUUUGCUUCCUGUUGAGGGGGGUAAUAAUAAUUUCAAUUGUGCUUUAGCCUCAGGUCUAUACUUCAUCAUAUACAGUAUAAUGUUAAUUAUGUGCUCCUUAGCUUAAACUUCAACAUUAAAUACAGUCACUAGCCCUAGGGGAGAAUCUAUAGUUCCAGUAAUUUCAUACAUUGUUUUCAUGUUUUCUGAGAUUCUUAUUUUCAUGUACCUAUGGGUUGUCUGGAUGUCUUUGUUAAGGAGUUUAUUUUCAGAAAAAGUCUACAUAUGUUGUAUUCAGUAAGUUCCUGAUGCUAAGUUUUGAGAUUACAUUUGCCUGAGAACAGGAUGGGUGUAAGAGCUUGGCUUACUUGCUGUUUUCCUCAGACAGUGUAAAUAUUAUUCUUUUAUUGUCAGCCAUUGAUGGGGCUGGGGCAAAGUCUAAGUUAAGGUUGAUAUUUCCAGUAAGCUGCAUAUUUUUUCUUUAUAC